RNAcentral lists this ribosomal RNA (406 nucleotides) under uncultured bacterium. RNAcentral describes it as "partial 16S ribosomal RNA". It matches the Rfam family "Bacterial small subunit ribosomal RNA", at positions 28 to 526 of the family's 1533-position model. The record is from RNAcentral.
GAUGAACGCUAGCUACAGGCUUAACACAUGCAAGUCGAGGGACCGGCGCACGGGUGAGUAACACGUAUCCACCCUGCCCUUUCCUCGGGGAUAGCCUUUCGAAAGACAGAUUACUACCCGAUCACAAGUAUGGGGAUGCGUUCCGUUAGGAUGUUGGUGAGGUAACGGCCCACCCAGCCUUCGAUGGAUAGGGGUGCUGAGAGGAAGGUCCCCCCUAUUGGAACUGAGACACGGUCCAAACUCUUACGGGAGGAAGGAGUAAGGUAUAUUCGUCAAUGGGCGGUAGCCUGACCCAGCCAAGUAGCGUGAAGGAUGAAGGCCGAUGGGUCGUAAACGUCGUUUAUAUACGAAUAUGUAUUAUACGCAUAAGGAUCGGUUAACGCCGCGCCAGCAGCCGCGGUAAUAC